RNAcentral lists this ribosomal RNA (402 nucleotides) under uncultured bacterium. RNAcentral describes it as "bacterial SSU rRNA". It matches the Rfam family "Bacterial small subunit ribosomal RNA", at positions 355 to 774 of the family's 1533-position model. The record is from RNAcentral.
UGGGGAAUCUUGCACAAUGGGGGAAACCCUGAUCCAGCCAUGCCGCGUAAGUGAUGAAGGCCCUAGGGUUGUAAAGCUCUUUUGUGCGGGAAGAUAAUGACGGUACCGCAAGAAUAAGCCCCGGCUAACUUCGUGCCAGCAGCCGCGGUAAUACGAAGGGGGCUAGCGUUGCUCGGAAUCACUGGGCGUAAAGGGUGCGUAGGCGGGUUUCUAAGUCAGAGGUGAAAGCCUGGAGCUCAACUCCAGAACUGCCUUUGAUACUGGAAGUCUUGAGUUCGGGAGAGGUGAGUGGAACUGCGAGUGUAGAGGUGAAAUUCGUAGAUAUUCGCAAGAACACCAGUGGCGAAGGCGGCUCACUGGCCCGAUACUGACGCUGAGGCACGAAAGCGUGGGGAGCAAACA